Molecule: long non-coding RNA, 642 nt
Organism: Spinacia oleracea (spinach)
Lineage: Eukaryota; Viridiplantae; Streptophyta; Magnoliopsida; Caryophyllales; Amaranthaceae
Exons: 3
Source: RefSeq, a predicted model, not a curated record
AGAUUGAUCAUUCCAUCUGUUUGAGCUAUGGGAUUAGAAUUUCAUCAUACUCCGGUAUCAUCAUUCGCCGAAUCCGGUUUCUAUCUGCUUGAGCUAAGGAAUUAACAGUUCUUUAUAGGCUGCUAUCAUCAAUCACUGAAUUGAAUCUGCUUAGAACUUCUAUGGAGAAUAGUACUUCUACCUUUGACAAAGAGAAGGCACAAGAACGGUUAUAAAAGCUCUCUAGUGGUGUUGCUGUUUUCAAGGUCCUCCAUUUGUUCCUGAAAUAUGAUCCCUUACCGGACCAAGUUGAGUGGCAUGGGGUGGAUAAAGAAACUGAAGAUUCUAAGACCCCUUUUAUAGCAAGGGUUUUUGCUAGCAUCUCGAGUCUCUCGAGUUUGCCUGAUCUUGAUCCCAAAGAUGGAGCAAUCGUAAGAGGCGAUACUCCUAUGUCAGUCACAUGUUUUGCUGCUCCUAGUUGAUCGAUGAUGUAUGUGGUCUCCCUAAUUAUAAUCUUUUAAUGAUUGCAGGGGUAAAUGAUGAAUCUGGUUGAUCCCAUUUUGUUUGGCAGGAUAACCAGUUUCGUGUGUUCUAAUUAUUGUUGCAUAUGUUGUAAUUAUUUUUGUAUAUGUUCUAAUUGUUGUAUUUGCUAUAAACAGUACU